This 1346-nucleotide ribosomal RNA is filed under the name uncultured bacterium. Its description in RNAcentral is "partial 16S ribosomal RNA". It matches the Rfam family "Bacterial small subunit ribosomal RNA", at positions 28 to 1381 of the family's 1533-position model. The record is from RNAcentral.
GACGAACGCUGGCGGCGUGCUUAACACAUGCAAGUCGAACGGAAAGGCCCUGCUUUUGUGGGGUGCUCGAGUGGCGAACGGGUGAGUAACACGUGAGUAACCUGCCCUUGACUUUGGGAUAACUUCAGGAAACUGGGGCUAAUACCGGAUAGGAGCUCCUGCUGCAUGGUGGGGGUUGGAAAGUUUCGGCGGUUGGGGAUGGACUCGCGGCUUAUCAGCUUGUUGGUGGGGUAGUGGCUUACCAAGGCUUUGACGGGUAGCCGGCCUGAGAGGGUGACCGGCCACAUUGGGACUGAGAUACGGCCCAGACUCCUACGGGAGGCAGCAGUGGGGAAUAUUGCACAAUGGGCGGAAGCCUGAUGCAGCAACGCCGCGUGCGGGAUGACGGCCUUCGGGUUGUAAACCGCUUUCGCCUGUGACGAAGCGUGAGUGACGGUAAUGGGUAAAGAAGCACCGGCUAACUACGUGCCAGCAGCCGCGGUGAUACGUAGGGUGCGAGCGUUGUCCGGAUUUAUUGGGCGUAAAGGGCUCGUAGGUCGUUGAUCGCGUCGGAAGUGUAAUCUUGGGGCUUAACCCUGAGCGUGCUUUCGAUACGGGUUGACUUGAGGAAGGCAGGGGAGAAUGGAAUUCCUGGUGGAGCGGUGGAAUGCGCAGAUAUCAGGAGGAACACCAGUGGCGAAGGCGGUUCUCUGGGCCUUUCCUGACGCUGAGGAGCGAAAGCGUGGGGAGCGAACAGGCUUAGAUACCCUGGUAGUCCACGCUGUAAACGGUGGGUACUAGGUGUGGGGUCCAUUCCACGGGUUCCGUGCCGUAGCUAACGCUUUAAGUACCCCGCCUGGGGAGUACGGCCGCAAGGCUAAAACUCAAAGGAAUUGACGGGGCCCCGCACAAGCGGCGGAGCAUGCGGAUUAAUUCGAUGCAACGCGUAGAACCUUACCUGGGUUUGACAUGGAUCGGGAGUGCUCAGAGAUGGGUGUGCCUCUUUUGGGGUCGGUUCACAGGUGGUGCAUGGCUGUCGUCAGCUCGUGUCGUGAGAUGUUGGGUUAAGUCCCGCAACGAGCGCAACCCUUGUUCACUGUUGCCAGCACGUUAUGGUGGGGACUCAGUGGAGACCGCCGGGGUCAACUCGGAGGAAGGUGGGGAUGACGUCAAGUCAUCAUGCCCCUUAUGUCCAGGGCUUCACGCAUGCUACAAUGGCUGGUACAGAGAGUGGCGAGCCUGUGAGGGUGAGCGAAUCUCGGAAAGCCGGUCUCAGUUCGGAUUGGGGUCUGCAACUCGACCUCAUGAAGUCGGAGUCGCUAGUAAUCGCAGAUCAGCAACGCUGCGGUGAAUACGUUCCCGGGGCU